Long non-coding RNA from Ipomoea triloba (trilobed morning glory), 1464 nucleotides. RefSeq lists it as uncharacterized. The transcript has 2 exons. NCBI's taxonomy places the organism in Eukaryota, Viridiplantae, Streptophyta, Magnoliopsida, Solanales, Convolvulaceae. The record is from RefSeq and is a predicted model, not a curated record.
UCUCUGACUUCUCUCUCUCACCCUCUUUUCUUUCUCUCGUUAGUCGUGAUCUCUCUCCUUAUCUUUUUUCUUUCUUCUCUGACUCUAGCUAUUCUUUCUUGAAAAGAGGAUGGAACAAUUAGAAAUUCAGAGCUCUCUCCCUUCUCCCUUCCCUCUAUUUUUUCCUCUCUCGCUCCGGUUCAGCUGCUCUGGCCCCUGCCCUUCCGUCGCGGCGUCACUCACCAGUCGGCAAUCGCCUCCGCGCUUCGCCUCUCGCCCGCUGCCCGCCUCCGCAGUGCGCCGUUCGCCCCUCGCCCGCCGGCCGCCUUCACCGUCCGUGGCACGACCCUCGUUCCCUGGCUGCGCCACUGCUCUCUACAGCUCUGUUGACUGCUCUAGUGCUCUGCCAAAGCCAAACGAAGACAGAUGAGGACUGAAGAAAAGCCGAGAAGAUUAGAUUAGUCGUUUCUUUUGGGUCAUCCUGAGCGGCAGAGAGAAUCAGAGAAAUGGAGUUUGUUUAAUUCAAUCCGAACAUAUCCGAAUAUCCGAUUAAAUUCGUCCGAACCCGAAGUUAUAAUAUCCGAUGAUUUUACUAAAUUAAUUUAUACGGAUUGGGUUAUUAAAAUGCAAACCGAACUCCGAACGGGUUGGGGGUUUCAAUAUCCGAACCGCCCGAACCUGUCCGAUGCACAGGCCUACCUACACAAGAAGUUAAACAAAUGAUUAAUGUUGCAGUUGUUGAGGCAUUAGCCAGUCAAAAAGGGAAAUGCAAGAGGAGUUUUCUAAAUAAAUUCAAGCAAGCAUGAAUGAGAUGAGGAAGCAAUUUAGUUUGAUGCAGACUCUUAUUUCUCAAGCUGCACAAUCAAAGCGGGAGGAUGACAUAUAUGUAGAUGUCGAGCCACAAUCUUACAGUGAAAAAGCUAGUUCUCUAGACCCUUUUGCUGAUUUACCGGCCAUAAGUAAUUGCUUAUAGUUAAUCUUAUUAUUAUUUAUUAAAAACAUUUUAGUUGAUUUUUAAAUAUGAAUUCAUGCAGUUAGGAGCACGAUGCCAUUUGUGUUUGGAAGAUCCCGUUAGACGUACAGUGGCAUUUGGGACAACUUACUGGGGUGAAAAGGAUCACGGGGUAGAAUUAAAUGUAAAUCAAGUGAAGGUGAGCGUGGAUAAGAUUAUUGAUCCAAGUGCAAAGGUAUCAUUCCCUACCGAUGAGGUUUAGUUUUAGGUGCUGCAAUACAUCACUUUAUUAUUUGGCCAAAGAAGCUAGUUGAGUUAUGUACUCAAACUGAUGAGUUAAAAAGAAAGUCCAAAUUGACUUAUGAAUUCGCUGUGCAACAAUCUUCUGUGGAUUUGACUAUAGCUGGUCCAACUUCUUUGAGUCCUUUAUGUCAAAAGGCAUAUAAAGUUGUUCGCAAUCUAAAACAAAAUCUUGUGAUGGAUAUGUCUCGUGGUAUUGUGAGCGACAUUGAAUAUGAGUUACAUCUUGAGAA